Molecule: transfer RNA, 66 nt
Filed under: Tripteroides atripes
Lineage: Eukaryota; Metazoa; Arthropoda; Insecta; Diptera; Culicidae
Also listed under: 2 other names
Description: tRNA-Pro
Source: RNAcentral
CAAGAAAUAGUUUAUUUAAAAUAUUAGCUUUGGGAGUUAAUGAAAAAGAAGUUUCUUUUUUCUUGA